Molecule: ribosomal RNA, 253 nt
Filed under: uncultured bacterium
Lineage: Bacteria
Description: partial 16S ribosomal RNA
Rfam family: Bacterial small subunit ribosomal RNA
Source: RNAcentral
UACAGAGGGUGCGAGCGUUGUUCGGAAUUAUUGGGCGUAAAGAGCUCGUAGGCGGUCUGUCGCGUCGGCUGUGAAAACUCGGGGCUCAACCCCGAGCCUGCAGUCGAUACGGGCAGACUAGAGUGCUGUAGGGGAGACUGGAAUUCCUGGUGUAGCGGUGAAAUGCGCAGAUAUCAGGAGGAACACCGGUGGCGAAGGCGGGUCUCUGGGCAGUAACUGACGCUGAGGAGCGAAAGCGUGGGGAGCGAACAGG